Molecule: ribosomal RNA, 272 nt
Filed under: uncultured prokaryote
Description: partial 16S ribosomal RNA
Rfam family: Bacterial small subunit ribosomal RNA
Source: RNAcentral
UACGAAGGGGGCUAGCGUUGUUCGGAAUUACUGGGCGUAAAGCGCGCGUAGGCGGACGAUUAAGUCAGGGGUGAAAUCCCGGAGCUCAACUCCGGAACUGCCUUUGAUACUGGUUGUCUAGAGUCCGGAAGAGGUGAGUGGAAUUGCGAGUGUAGAGGUGAAAUUCGUAGAUAUUCGCAGGAACACCAGUGGCGAAGGCGGCUCACUGGUCCGGUACUGACGCUGAGGUGCGAAAGCGUGGGGAGCAAACAGGAUUAGAAACCCAGUAGUCC